RNAcentral lists this ribosomal RNA (502 nucleotides) under Flavobacterium sp. DB1.3-6. Its description in RNAcentral is "bacterial SSU rRNA". It matches the Rfam family "Bacterial small subunit ribosomal RNA", at positions 13 to 516 of the family's 1533-position model. Lineage: Bacteria; Pseudomonadati; Bacteroidota; Flavobacteriia; Flavobacteriales; Flavobacteriaceae. The record is from RNAcentral.
UUGAUCCUGGCUCAGGAUGAACGCUAGCGGCAGGCUUAACACAUGCAAGUCGAGGGGUAUAGUUCUUCGGAACUAGAGACCGGCGCACGGGUGCGUAACGCGUAUGCAAUCUACCUUUCACAGAGGGAUAGCCCAGAGAAAUUUGGAUUAAUACCUCAUAGCAUAGCAGCUUCGCAUGAAGCCACUAUUAAAGUCACAACGGUGAAAGAUGAGCAUGCGUCCCAUUAGCUAGUUGGUAAGGUAACGGCUUACCAAGGCUACGAUGGGUAGGGGUCCUGAGAGGGAGAUCCCCCACACUGGUACUGAGACACGGACCAGACUCCUACGGGAGGCAGCAGUGAGGAAUAUUGGACAAUGGGCGCAAGCCUGAUCCAGCCAUGCCGCGUGCAGGAUGACGGUCCUAUGGAUUGUAAACUGCUUUUGCACAGGAAGAAACAACGCUACGUGUAGCGUCUUGACGGUACUGUGAGAAUAAGGAUCGGCUAACUCCGUGCCAGCAGCC